Molecule: ribosomal RNA, 520 nt
Filed under: uncultured Glomus
Lineage: Eukaryota; Fungi; Glomeromycota; Glomeromycetes; Glomerales; Glomeraceae
Description: SSU rRNA
Rfam family: Eukaryotic small subunit ribosomal RNA
Source: RNAcentral
AGCAGCCGCGGUAAUUCCAGCUCCAAUAGCGUAUAUUAAAGUUGUUGCAGUUAAAAAGCUCGUAGUUGAAUUUCGGGAUCAUCAGGUUGGUCGUGCCUCUGGUAUGUACUUGCUUCGAUGGUCCCUCCUUCUUGAAGAACCGUAAUGCCAUUAAUUUGGUGUUGCGGGGAAACAGGACUGUUACUUUGAAAAAAUUAGAGUGUUUAAAGCAGGCAAUCGCUUGAAUACAUUAGCAUGGAAUAAUGAAAUAGGACGUUCGAUCCUAUUUUGUUGGUUUCUAGGAUUGACGUAAUGAUUAAUAGGGAUAGUUGGGGGCAUUAGUAUUCAAUUGUCAGAGGUGAAAUUCUUGGAUUUAUUGAAGACUAACUACUGCGAAAGCAUUUGCCAAGGAUGUUUUCAUUAAUCAAGAACGAAAGUUAGGGGAUCGAAGACGAUCAGAUACCGUCGUAGUCUUAACCAUAAACUAUGCCGACUAGGGAUCGGAUGAUGUUAAUUUUUAAUGACUCAUUCGGCGCCUUAC